UACGAAGGGUGCAAACGUUGCUCGGAAUCAUUGGGCGUAAAGAGCGUGUAGGCGGCCAGGUAGGUCGGUUGUGAAAACUGGAGGCUCAACCUUCAGAGGUCGACCGAAACCAUCUGGCUAGAGUCCGGGAGAGGAGAGUGGAAUUCCUGGUGUAGCGGUGAAAUGCGCAGAUAUCAGGAAGAACACCCGUGGCGAAAGCGGCUCUCUGGAACGGUACUGACGCUGAGACGCGAAAGCGUGGGGAGCGAACAGG
RNAcentral lists this ribosomal RNA (253 nucleotides) under uncultured bacterium. RNAcentral's name for it is "partial 16S ribosomal RNA". It matches the Rfam family "Bacterial small subunit ribosomal RNA", at positions 524 to 776 of the family's 1533-position model. The record is from RNAcentral.